This 508-nucleotide ribosomal RNA is filed under the name uncultured bacterium. RNAcentral's name for it is "bacterial SSU rRNA". It matches the Rfam family "Bacterial small subunit ribosomal RNA", at positions 791 to 1298 of the family's 1533-position model. The record is from RNAcentral.
UAGUCCACGCCGUAAACGAUGGGCACUAGGUGUCGGCGGUAUUAAUCCCGUCGGUGCCGGCGCUAACGCAGUAAGUGCCCCGCCUGGGGAGUACGGUCGCAAGGCUGAAACUCAAACGAAUUGACGGGGGCCCGCACAAGCGGUGGAGCAUGUGGUUUAAUUCGACGCAACGCGAAGAACCUUACCUAGGUUUGACAUGCAUUGGAUCGGCUGUGAAAGCAGUCUUCCCUUCGGGGCCGAUGCACAGGUGCUGCAUGGCUGUCGUCAGCUCGUGUCGUGAGAUGUUGGGUUAAGUCCCGCAACGAGCGCAACCCUUACCCUUUGUUGCUACCGGGUCAUGCCGGGCACUCUGAGGGGACUGCCCCGGUUAACGGGGAGGAAGGUGGGGAUGACGUCAAGUCCUCAUGGCCUUUAUGCCUAGGGCUACACACGUGCUACAAUGGUCAGGACAAAGGGCUGCUACGUCGCAAGGCGCUGCCAAUCCCAAAAACCUGGCCCCAGUUCGGAU